UAAAGUGAAUUUAAAUUUGAGUGGCAUGAAAAUAAGUAUUAUAUAUGUUCUUAUUCAGCAGUCGGGCGGUGAGGUAGCGUAGUGGUUAAAGCGUUGGCUCGUCACGCCGAAGACCCGGGUUUGAAUCCCCACAUGGGUACAAUGUGUGAAGCCCAUAUCUGGUGAUCCCCGCCGUGAUGUUGCUGGAAUAUUGCUAAAAGCGGCGUAAAACCAAACUCAGUCAGUCAGUCAGUAUUCAGCAGUCAAAAAUAUAAAUAGAUUCCAGAAUCAUCAAACUCAUGUGCACUGUUAAUAAAGACUGUGCCCUUGUGAGCCCACGCAAGACAUCCAUCAGUAGGUCAGACUAGCUGUCUAGGCUCAAACCACUGCUGUGGCCUUUCAGUUUUGAACGCAACCCUGGUGAGUUUGUUCGUGUUGUGUUGACAAGUUAUAUUUCAGUAAGUCCUGUCUGUGUGUCAGAUGGACAUUGGUGUACCAGCAGCGAUGAUGUUUUGUGUAUUUUACGAUCAUGUAUUUGAUUGCUGUAUUUUUGCGGAAAGUAUAUACCUUUGACAAGCCUCUGUUCGGAGGGGAGGGUAUGACUGAGUUGAUUCUCGUCCUUGCGAUGAAAAAUUAGUUCUGAGAUUUAUUCUUCGUUGCAAAAUUGUAGUAUUUGAAUUAAUUAUGAAAAUGAAAUGUCACAUGAAUAUAAACUGAAGGGCAAAAGAAACAACACUUCCCCAUUGAUUUUAUCAUAUGUGGGAUUUUCAAUUAAUAAUGUAUUUUUUACGAUGUAUACAAAAAAUGUGAAAAAGUCAAAUCUUUUUAAAAAUAUACAACACCUGAUGGCUGUCUUAGACAUCUUAUCUGUUAUAUAUUUGCCUUUUAGGUCACAAAUUUACAACGUUUCAAAUACAGUAGGGAUCAUGUGGUUGCAAAUUCAUUUCUUACCCCAUCUACAUUGAACAAUUUACUUUUACAGAAAAUUCAAUCUCAGUAUGUUUUCAUUUUCCCCCUCAGUUUGAUUCCAUACAAAAUAGAAUUUAGACAAGAGUUGUAAAGGUUAACAUGAAAGGAAAUAUAUUGUGUACAAUAUUGAGUGAUGUUCACUCUCAUAUCUUCCCCAAAGGACAAGAUGUGAUGACACAGACUUCAAAUAAUAAUCCCAAGUAUACUUCUUGACAACUAAUCUCAAAUAUUUGGUUUGAUGCAUCUUUAAAUGGGCAACAGUAGACCUGCCUAUAAACUUCCAUUUUCCUGUUGUGUGUGAGUUUACAUUAAAUGUUGCUCAGCACAGCAUGUUCUCAGAUCUGAAAAUGGUAGGGAUCAAAACCGAACCUUGUCUACUCCCAGUGUCAAUUAAGUGCUUAGCACUGAACUCUGCUUGAGGGUCUCUUGCUCCACUUUAAGUGCAUCAAGCUCAAGUAAAUAUGUUUUCACAAGCUGAAUGUGUGAUUUAAUUUAAUAAUGAAAUAAAUGCAAAUAUCUUUGAAGAAAGUAAACCUUACAGUUGUUGCAGUUAGAACACUAACCUCUUAUGUUGUGAAUCAGAUUCAUUAAUGAGAGAACAUGCCUGUUGACCGGUCCUAUAUGUCAAGUCUUGUCACUCAAGUGUCAGAUCUAUAACCUGUUACUAAACAAGAGCCUUAUUUAACUGAAAGGUAGCAUAUUUCAACCUGUGAAGGUAGCUGAGGCAGCCUCUUCCUGCUGACUCUUCUGUGAUGCAAACUGGUGAAAAUAUAACAAACCCAUUGUCAAUUCAUCUCAUCAGAAGCAGAAUUACUGGAGGCAACAACACUGUCAUGUUUGAUGAGACUUGAGUCUGUGAUACAGUGAAUCAGCCAAACAAUAUCCUGAUGGUCCAUCUUAGCCAAUACAAUUGGUUGCUGGGGUGUUUCAGCCAAUCAAAUUGGCUGUUUCAUCCAUGUCAAUAAGAUUGGCUGACUGUGCUUGUUAAGGAGCCAAUCAAAUUGGCUUUAUUUUGAGUUCAGCCAAUUAAAUUGGCUUGACAUGGUCAAAGAGGACAUUUAGUCAGCUUUUUUUAAAAAGCUAAAUUUGAAUUUAACACAUGUUUGUUUGUUUGUUUGUUUGUAUGACAUUAUUAUGCCCUUACUGGUGCUUUUAUCUGAUGUAAAAUAUCAACUAUGACAUAUAAUACCAUUUGAUAUGAAAGCUCACACUGACAUGUGUGACAAUAAUAUUCACUUACAUUAUAUAUAUUUUUCUUAUAUUAUGUUUAAAAAAAAAACAUGCCUUCUACUGUACGGUAUUUACAUUUAUCCUUUUCUUUUGGAAACUGUAAAACAGACUAAUGUAAAUAUUUCUGGAAUUGUUUAUCACUUGAAACAACACAAUUUGUCACUGAAGCUGUGAAGGGACUUUGGAGAUCUCACCGUCAACUAAAAGUUCAUCCCAAGCUACAUCUUCCUGUUCACUUUGUAUUCAUCGAUGAUGUUUCAACUUUUUGCAGAUUCAUAGAUUAUUUUGUAAAGAGUGUAAUUUUAGUGUAUGAAAAUUAUCACCAAAAAACGUACACUGUGUGAUGUGUUUUAGAUUUUGUUGUCUAUUUUGAGAUGAAAGGUUCCAGUAUAAUUUCAUGCAGUGGACUUGCUUUAAAUCUAAUACCUGGAUAUCUAAACACAUUCAGACACUGUUGUAUGAGGUUGAAGCCACAUAUGGAUAUACUUCACCUUAUCCAAAGUUCAACACAACUGUAGAAUGAGUCCAAUGCAACAGUGUUUGACUACAUCAAUAUCCAGAAUGAUAUAGAAGUACUUUAUACAGGCCAGAUAAUUGAUAUUAGAUUUUCAUCCUCAUCCUCGUCAUUACCAGACAUCCCAGCUCGCAUUAUUGUUUUGUCCUAUAAUAUUUGCUGUCAGAAAAAAAAUCACCUUAUAUUUUUGUCAGUUGGUUUCCAAGACUACGCAGCAGAAAAAAUGGACUAAGACAAAACUUAGUUGGACACUACUUCUUCAUAUGUGAAUAAAGAAAACUGGAGAAUAUCGGUAGGUAUGAUGAAAUAACAAGCCUAUAAAGUUUUGUUCAGACCCAAAAGAAUUGAGCCCCAGUCGAUCUUUCGAUAUCUUGCCAUGUUAAACUUGUUCGCUGUUAGAAACAGUGCUGAUC
Molecule: long non-coding RNA, 3105 nt
Organism: Haliotis rubra (blacklip abalone)
Lineage: Eukaryota; Metazoa; Mollusca; Gastropoda; Lepetellida; Haliotidae
Exons: 2
Source: RefSeq, a predicted model, not a curated record